UUCAGUUGUCUGUCUCUGUGCAAAGUCAGCAUAAAUCCGUCCCUGAAAUCCCUGGAGUUUCAGGGUAUACAGAUUUCUCUGCUGAUUGCAAGAACAGAUUUUUGGUUGAAUGAAGGAGAAUAGUCUCAAGAAGUCUCCCACAAUAUUGCCAGGUUUAAAGUCUGACAAAAAACUUGAUCUACUCCAGUAAGUAAGUACCAGCAGUUAGAGGAAAAGAUGAUAUGUAGGAAAUGAGCUGCUAAAAUCAGAUUGUCAAACAGGUGAAAUGAGUAAGGAGACCUCAGAAUGCUAAGGAUCCUGCUGAAUUUGACUGUAGCAUGGCAGGAUGAUUGGAAGAGCACUGUAUGCAUGCUUCACUUGCUGGAUAAUAUUUGAGCCUGCUCCAAUUACAGGAAUUGUAUGACCUGAGGAGUGCAACUCAGCUGCAAGGGUGUAGUGGAAUACAGCAGAACUUUUAUAUUGUGGAUGUAGGUAUUUUAUUUUAUUUUAUUUUCCUGAUCAGAUUUUUACUAGUAAGCUGACAACAAUGCUAAUUUUUCCUUCUGUACUCUGUUGCCUGUCUAUGAUUCAGUUCUUGAGGGACAACAGCUA
This is a long non-coding RNA of Lagopus leucura (white-tailed ptarmigan), 591 nucleotides long. RefSeq lists it as uncharacterized. NCBI's taxonomy places the organism in Eukaryota, Metazoa, Chordata, Aves, Galliformes, Phasianidae. The record is from RefSeq and is a predicted model, not a curated record. The transcript has 3 exons.